UAUUGUGUGAUCUGGCACACAAAACACGCACGCCAAUCGUUGCCUACGGGCAAUGGUUGUGUGUUGUGCGUUGAAAUUUAAAAUUUUUUCAUUAAAAACAACUAAAAUAACCGAAACAUUUUUCUCGCAUACACAGACACACACUUAGUGUAUCCUUUUAUUAUUAUUUUUUGUUCGAACGAAGAAAAAUGCCAAAUUCAUCAUCUUAUUUUGUUAAUCGGAUUUUUGAGACGUUUUCCGUUUUUUUUUUUUUCGGUUUCGGUUAAGUUUUUGAAAGCGAGAGAAAAAUUCAAUGCUGAUUGAAUUAAAAACACACAAAGUUCUAUUUAAUAAUUUAAUUGACCAUUUUUUUAAAACUACAAUCGAAUUAAAUUUAUUGUCACCCUUGGACUUUAAAUUUUGAACUCGAACUCAACGACCCGAUUCCACCAAGUCCAGCCACGGUUAUGAUGAUUCGUCAUUACACGAUGUAGCAAAACAUAAAAUUCGUUAAUUCGGUUGAUUGCUUUGUUUUUAAAUUCGCGGUUCAAUUUUAGUUACAUAACCAUUUAAAUCGUCUCCAAGCUGUCUGCAACACAACCGCAUUGCAAGCAACGCAAAAUAAGGAACACACACGAUGACAAAGUAUGCAAUGUGCACAUAUUUCUCUCGUCGAUUUCGGGCUGGCGGCUGAUGUGUGUUGUAUUGCUUUUGUUCGCCAAGGAAAUCGACCGGUGAAAAUAUUUUUGUCUUCGGCCAAAUAAGACGGCGACAACGAUGCUACAACUAAGCUGAGCUGGUGCUAUCGCUAUCCAACUGGCUAAUACCCAAAAAGUUUUGUGUCAAAGGAACGGCCAACAACCGAAAUUGACACACAGAGAAUAAGAAGAAGAAGAAGAUGAAGAAUAAAAAAAGCGUCGAAAAUUUGCGAUUUUGCUGGCCCCGAAUCAAAUCAUCAUCACACACAGUGUGAGUGAAAAUUGCCCCAAAACGAUAUGGCAUUGCGACGAAACGAGACGCAAAAUCGAAAAAUUGAAAAUCAUUCUGUUGGCACUGGUGCGUUGAUCUGUUUUGGCGACCGACGAUUUCAUACCUUGUCAAUGAUGGCUUUGGCUUUCAUUCUCAUCACGACACACUCUCACCCUAAAUCAUCACAUCUCACGAGCCAGAAAAUAUCUUCACUCUCUUGUAGUGCCAACCAUUUCAGUUUGUGUCGAAAUUUCAUUCGGAUCAGAGUACAGAGGCUUGAGCUCGAUGAAAUCACAAAUCGGAUUCAAAAUCAAUGCAAAAUAUUUUUGAUUUUUGCCUUUCAUCAAGUAUCUCAACCGUUCGUCGAUACGCGCAACAUCAACCGCAAAAUGAUCGUAACGUUCAUGAAACAAGUUCAUAAAAUGAUGGAACAAUUUAAAUUAAUCAACGACAAUUCAAUCAAGUCGCAUAAAAUAUUCAACAUUUAAAUGUAGUGUGAUUGUUUUUUUUUUAGUUUCGUUUGAACAUAGCCGAUUAAUUUGUGAAAGUUAUGUGUCGCGUAAUGCUAUAAAUGCAAACAACUCUAUUUUGCUUUAAUUAGACUAGUUUCAUACGGCUUUUGCAAAAACACCCAAACCGAAACAUAUUUCCAUAAUUAAAAUAACCGUAAUAAUUAACCCUCCUCAAUAAAAUAUAAUCACCAAUAUAAUCAAUGCAAAUCUACACCGGCGGGUUUAAAUUAUAAAAUAUACUCAACAAUUAAAUAGCACUCUAUACAAAAUAAACAUGAAUUAUUUAGUGACAAACAAAUCGAUGUGAAUAACCCAAUUCACACACAGAAAAAAAUGAGCAAUUCAUUUUAAAAUGCCCGCUGAGAAUCGCGUACUCACUCUACUGUACUGUAUGACCAAAUGCGCACUUGUUGAAAGUGACAAAUCUAUCGAAUUCUACCGAAAACUGAAAAUUCACCCGAAAAAGAUGACAGUCUAUCACCCGGAACUUUUGCGAGCUGAAACACACAUCGUUCUUAUAUCGACUCAUCGGAUAAUCCGAAAACACACCAAAUGCUGGCUCAUCCGAACGAAACAUAAUGCAAUACCAAUAUAUUCUUCACUUUAACCAGUUUUAAUAGCACACAAUUAAUACUUGUACAUACAUAAGUUAAAUCACUUAAAAUUUAUGAACCCUUAAAGUACUUACCACAAAUAUCUCUAUCGGAAUAAAAAUGGAAUAGUUUUUCGAGUGCAAAGAAAUGCUUACGAUUCAAGUGAUGAACGAGAAUUAAGAGAAAAAAUUCCAAUUGAUUAUUUUGCGCACGAACACUAUCAAUUGUCCCUUGUAAAAUCGUUGCUGAUAAUCCGUUGGUAUUUUUGCUCAUGAAAAAUAUUUUGUCUGUAAAUAGAUUUGUCGACUCACUUGAAUAAUGUAACCAUUUGUCAUUAUGCACAAAAAAAAAGAUAUAAAAAAGCCAAAAAAAAAAAUGAACGGAGGAAAGGGAAGAGCGAAUAACAAUACGACAUAUUUAUAAAAAGAAAUGAGAAUGUGACAAAUUCGAAUCAGAUAAUUAGUUAAGUGUAAGUCGUAUGUAAUAUUUAGUUGGUUUCGGGUCACUGUACGAUUGAAAAGCCAACACUUGGAAUAAACAAAGCUCUUGUCACACACACACUACAUGACAUUCUGCAUUGUAGUGCAAUUAUGAAAAUCUUUGGAUUAGAUUAAGUUUUACAGUGUGAAUUUCAUGGUUCAAAUUUCGACGGUGCACAUAAUCGAUUGGAGUAUGUUUUGCUCUCAAUAUUUAAAAUGCAUGCGAAAAAAUACCCUUGUGAUUUGAACACACGAAAUUCAACGUCAUUUUUGAUAAAUCGAAUCGUUGGAUGUGUCCAUAAAACUGUAAAAUGCUUUCAACUGAGGCGAAACAUUUCAGAAUUUAUCGGACCGAAAGCCAAAAGUCGAUUUUAUCAAAGAGCACACAUCGGUAUCUUUUGGUUAGAUAUUUAUUCAAAUACAAGAAGUAUUUAAUGAAACGAAUAUGGUUCCAAUGUAGAAAAUUCCUUUAGAACGUAUAAUGAUGUAUAAAUUGAGAUGAUAGUAUUGUAGUUGGUAUUUAGAGUUAUUUUUCGGUUUUGUUUUUGUUUUUCAAUGGAAUAUCCAUACAUAUACACAAAUCAGCGCUCACAUUAAUCAAAUAAUAACUAUUACAUACAACUAGCUCUAUAUCAAAUAUGCAAGGCACAUUACUUUAGGCGAAACUAUUGACUCAACACCAUCAAAGAGAUAUACCACUUAGUUACCAUUGAUUCCAUGGGUAGCAAUUAGAAAAGUUUUGCGUGUUUUUUUUCUCUGUUCUUCGUUAAGUUUAAUCCACAGUGAAUGAAGAUGAAUGACGAAGUUCAAGACUUCGACAAAUUAUAACGAUACGUAAACAUAGUGCGAGAUGAUCUUUUUUUUUAAAGAAAAAAACAUAACGAUAUGUACUUACCUAAAUCCGUAGCAAGUAUUUGACUAAUAAAAGCAAUGUAGCAGUUUAUGGUUUAACGAAAA
This is a long non-coding RNA of Contarinia nasturtii (swede midge), 3489 nucleotides long. RefSeq lists it as uncharacterized. The record is from RefSeq and is a predicted model, not a curated record. The transcript has 2 exons. Lineage: Eukaryota; Metazoa; Arthropoda; Insecta; Diptera; Cecidomyiidae.